CAAUAGCGUAUAUUUAAGUUGUUGCAGUUAAAAAGCUCGUAGUUGGAUUUCGGGUGGGACGCAGCGGUCUCGCAUUGCGUUUGUACUGCUGCAGCCCUCCUUCUUGCCGGGGGCGGCCUCUCGGACUUCACUGUCUGGGGGUCAGAAUCGGCGAUGUUACUUUGAGUAAAUUAGAGUUUUCAAAGCAAGCUUACGCUCUGAAUAUAAUAGCAUGGGAUAACACGACAGGACUCUGGCCUAUCGUGUUGGUCUAUAGGACCAGAGUAAUGAUUAAGAGGGACAGUCGGGGGCAUUCGUAUUCCGUUGUCAGAGGUGAAAUUCUUGGAUUUACGGAAGACGAACAUCUGCGAAAGCAUUUGCCAAGGAUGUUUUCAUUGA
This 378-nucleotide ribosomal RNA is filed under the name uncultured eukaryote. Its description in RNAcentral is "partial 18S ribosomal RNA". It matches the Rfam family "Eukaryotic small subunit ribosomal RNA", at positions 592 to 976 of the family's 1831-position model. The record is from RNAcentral.